Molecule: ribosomal RNA, 2925 nt
Filed under: Salmonella enterica
Lineage: Bacteria; Pseudomonadati; Pseudomonadota; Gammaproteobacteria; Enterobacterales; Enterobacteriaceae
Also listed under: 2 other names
Description: 23S ribosomal RNA
Rfam family: Bacterial large subunit ribosomal RNA
Source: RNAcentral
GGGUUGUGAGGUUAAGCGACUAAGCGUACACGGUGGAUGCCCUGGCAGUCAGAGGCGAUGAAGGGCGUGCUAAUCUGCGAUAAGCGCCGGUAAGGUGAUAUGAACCGUUAUAACCGGCGAUACCCGAAUGGGGAAACCCAGUGUGACUCGUCACACUAUCAUUAACUGAAUCCAUAGGUUAAUGAGGCGAACCGGGGGAACUGAAACAUCUAAGUACCCCGAGGAAAAGAAAUCAACCGAGAUUCCCCCAGUAGCGGCGAGCGAACGGGGAGGAGCCCAGAGCCUGAAUCAGCAUGUGUGUUAGUGGAAGCGUCUGGAAAGGCGCGCGAUACAGGGUGACAGCCCCGUACACAAAAGCGCAUGUGCUGUGAGCUCGAUGAGUAGGGCGGGACACGUGGUAUCCUGUCUGAAUAUGGGGGGACCAUCCUCCAAGGCUAAAUACUCCUGACUGACCGAUAGUGAACCAGUACCGUGAGGGAAAGGCGAAAAGAACCCCGGCGAGGGGAGUGAAAAAGAACCUGAAACCGUGUACGUACAAGCAGUGGGAGCACCCUUUGGGUGUGACUGCGUACCUUUUGUAUAAUGGGUCAGCGACUUAUAUUCUGUAGCAAGGUUAACCGAAUAGGGGAGCCGGAGGGAAACCGAGUCUUAAUUGGGCGUUAAGUUGCAGGGUAUAGACCCGAAACCCGGUGAUCUAGCCAUGGGCAGGUUGAAGGUUGGGUAACACUAACUGGAGGACCGAACCGACUAAUGUUGAAAAAUUAGCGGAUGACCUGUGGCUGGGGGUGAAAGGCCAAUCAAACCGGGAGAUAGCUGGUUCUCCCCGAAAGCUAUUUAGGUAGCGCCUCGUGAAUUCAUCUCCGGGGGUAGAGCACUGUUUCGGCUAGGGGGCCAUCCCGGCUUACCAACCCGAUGCAAACUGCGAAUACCGGAGAAUGUUAUCACGGGAGACACACGGCGGGUGCUAACGUCCGUCGUGAAGAGGGAAACAACCCAGACCGCCAGCUAAGGUCCCAAAGUCAUGGUUAAGUGGGAAACGAUGUGGGAAGGCCCAGACAGCCAGGAUGUUGGCUUAGAAGCAGCCAUCAUUUAAAGAAAGCGUAAUAGCUCACUGGUCGAGUCGGCCUGCGCGGAAGAUGUAACGGGGCUAAACCAUGCACCGAAGCUGCGGCAGCGACACUGUGUGUUGUUGGGUAGGGGAGCGUUCUGUAAGCCUGUGAAGGUGUGUCGUGAGGCAUGCUGGAGGUAUCAGAAGUGCGAAUGCUGACAUAAGUAACGAUAAAGCGGGUGAAAAGCCCGCUCGCCGGAAGACCAAGGGUUCCUGUCCAACGUUAAUCGGGGCAGGGUGAGUCGACCCCUAAGGCGAGGCCGAAAGGCGUAGUCGAUGGGAAACGGGUUAAUAUUCCCGUACUUGGUGUUACUGCGAAGGGGGGACGGAGAAGGCUAUGUUGGCCGGGCGACGGUUGUCCCGGUUUAAGCGUGUAGGUGUGUGUUCCAGGUAAAUCCGGUUCACUUUAACACUGAGGCGUGACGACGAGGCACUACGGUGCUGAAGCAACAAAUGCCCUGCUUCCAGGAAAAGCCUCUAAGCAUCAGGUAACAUCAAAUCGUACCCCAAACCGACACAGGUGGUCAGGUAGAGAAUACCAAGGCGCUUGAGAGAACUCGGGUGAAGGAACUAGGCAAAAUGGUGCCGUAACUUCGGGAGAAGGCACGCUGACACGUAGGUGAAGUGAUUUACUCAUGGAGCUGAAGUCAGUCGAAGAUACCAGCUGGCUGCAACUGUUUAUUAAAAACACAGCACUGUGCAAACACGAAAGUGGACGUAUACGGUGUGACGCCUGCCCGGUGCCGGAAGGUUAAUUGAUGGGGUCAGCGCAAGCGAAGCUCCUGAUCGAAGCCCCGGUAAACGGCGGCCGUAACUAUAACGGUCCUAAGGUAGCGAAAUUCCUUGUCGGGUAAGUUCCGACCUGCACGAAUGGCGUAAUGAUGGCCAGGCUGUCUCCACCCGAGACUCAGUGAAAUUGAACUCGCUGUGAAGAUGCAGUGUACCCGCGGCAAGACGGAAAGACCCCGUGAACCUUUACUAUAGCUUGACACUGAACAUUGAGCCUUGAUGUGUAGGAUAGGUGGGAGGCUUUGAAGUGUGGACGCCAGUCUGCAUGGAGCCGACCUUGAAAUACCACCCUUUAAUGUUUGAUGUUCUAACGUGGACCCGUUACCCGGGUUGCGGACAGUGUCUGGUGGGUAGUUUGACUGGGGCGGUCUCCUCCUAAAGAGUAACGGAGGAGCACGAAGGUUGGCUAAUCCUGGUCGGACAUCAGGAGGUUAGUGCAAUGGCAUAAGCCAGCUUGACUGCGAGCGUGACGGCGCGAGCAGGUGCGAAAGCAGGUCAUAGUGAUCCGGUGGUUCUGAAUGGAAGGGCCAUCGCUCAACGGAUAAAAGGUACUCCGGGGAUAACAGGCUGAUACCGCCCAAGAGUUCAUAUCGACGGCGGUGUUUGGCACCUCGAUGUCGGCUCAUCACAUCCUGGGGCUGAAGUAGGUCCCAAGGGUAUGGCUGUUCGCCAUUUAAAGUGGUACGCGAGCUGGGUUUAGAACGUCGUGAGACAGUUCGGUCCCUAUCUGCCGUGGGCGCUGGAGAACUGAGGGGGGCUGCUCCUAGUACGAGAGGACCGGAGUGGACGCAUCACUGGUGUUCGGGUUGUCAUGCCAAUGGCACUGCCCGGUAGCUAAAUGCGGAAGAGAUAAGUGCUGAAAGCAUCUAAGCACGAAACUUGCCCCGAGAUGAGUUCUCCCUGAGACUUAGAGUCUCCUGAAGGAACGUUGAAGACGACGACGUUGAUAGGCCGGGUGUGUAAGCGCAGCGAUGCGUUGAGCUAACCGGUACUAAUGAACCGUGAGGCUUAACCUUACAACGCCGAAG